CAGUAGCCGCGGGAACACGAACCGUGCGAACGUUAUUCGGAAUCACUGGGCUUAAAGCGCGUGUAGGCGGAUGGGAGCGUCGGCCUCUGAAAUCCCCCGGCUCAACCGGGGAAGUGGAGCCGAAACGACCCGUCUGGAGGGACGUAGGGGGACCUGGAACUUCCGGUGGAGCGGUGAAAUGCGUUGAGAUCGGAAGGAACGCCCGUGGCGAAAGCGAGGUCCUGGACGUCUGCUGACGCUGAAACGCGAAAGCCAGGGGAGCGAACGGGAUUAGAUACCCGGGUAGUCCCUGUCUCUUAUA
This 301-nucleotide ribosomal RNA is filed under the name uncultured bacterium. RNAcentral's name for it is "partial 16S ribosomal RNA". It matches the Rfam family "Bacterial small subunit ribosomal RNA", at positions 509 to 807 of the family's 1533-position model. The record is from RNAcentral.